ACGUGGGUAAUCUACCCGAUGACCGGGACACCCGAGGAAACUCGGGCCUAAUACCGGAUGUGGUACGGAGACAUAAGUCUCUUUACUAAAGGUAGCUUCGGCUUCCGCAUUGGGAGGGGCCCGCGGCCCAUUAGCUAGUUGGUGGGGUCAAAGGCCUACCAAGGCAACGAUGGGUAGCUGGUCUGAGAGGACGAUCAGCCACACUGGGACUGAGACACGGCCCAGACUCCUACGGGAGGCAGCAGUGGGGAAUCUUGCGCAAUGCGCGAAAGCGUGACGCAGCAACACCGCGUGAGGGAAGACGGCCUUAGGGUUGUAAACCUCUUUCAGAUGGGACGAAGGUGAUGCGGUGAAUAGCCGAUGUCAUUGACGGUACCGUCAGAAGAAGCUCCGGCUAACUACGUG
RNAcentral lists this ribosomal RNA (405 nucleotides) under uncultured bacterium. Its description in RNAcentral is "bacterial SSU rRNA". It matches the Rfam family "Bacterial small subunit ribosomal RNA", at positions 115 to 507 of the family's 1533-position model. The record is from RNAcentral.